CGGGUGAGUAACACGUAUCCAACCUGCCGUCUACUCUUGGACAGCCUUCUGAAAGGAAGAUUAAUACAAGAUGGCAUCAUGAGUCCGCAUGUUCACAUGAUUAAAGGUAUUCCGGUAGACGAUGGGGAUGCGUUCCAUUAGAUAGUAGGCGGGGUAACGGCCCACCUAGUCUUCGAUGGAUAGGGGUUCUGAGAGGAAGGUCCCCCACAUUGGAACUGAGACACGGUCCAAACUCCUACGGGAGGCAGCAGUGAGGAAUAUUGGUCAAUGGGCGAGAGUCUGAACCAGCCAAGUAGCGUGAAGGAUGACUGCCCUAUGGGUUGUAAACUUCUUUUAUAAAGGAAUAAAGUCGGGUAUGGAUACCCGUUUGC
Molecule: ribosomal RNA, 371 nt
Filed under: uncultured bacterium
Lineage: Bacteria
Description: bacterial SSU rRNA
Rfam family: Bacterial small subunit ribosomal RNA
Source: RNAcentral